RNAcentral lists this ribosomal RNA (255 nucleotides) under uncultured bacterium. Its description in RNAcentral is "partial 16S ribosomal RNA". It matches the Rfam family "Bacterial small subunit ribosomal RNA", at positions 57 to 305 of the family's 1533-position model. The record is from RNAcentral.
GCAAGUCGGACGGUAACAUGAGGUGCUUGCACUUUGAUGACGAGUGACGCACGGGUGCGCAACGCGUAUAGAACCUCCCCUGUACAGGGGGAUAGCCCAGAGUAAUUUGGAUUAAUACUCCGUGGUAAAUAUAAAUGGCAUCAUUUAUAUUUUAAAGUUUUCGGACGGUACAGGAUGUCUAUGCGUCCUAUUAGUUAGAUGGCGUGGUAACGGCACACCAUGGCAGCGAUAGGUAGGGGCCCUGAGAGGGGGAUC